AUUGAACGCUAGCGGCAUGCUUUACACAUGCAAGUCGAACGGUAACAGGGUGCUUGCACCGCUGACGAGUGGCGAACGGGUGAGUAAUGCGUCGGAACGUGCCGAGUAGUGGGGGAUAACGCAGCGAAAGUUGUGCUAAUACCGCAUACGUACUGAGGUAGAAAGUGGGGGACCUUCGGGCCUCACGCUAUUCGAGCGGCCGACGUCUGAUUAGCUAGUAGGUGAGGUAAAGGCUCACCUAGGCGACGAUCAGUAGCGGGUCUGAGAGGAUGAUACGCCACACGGGGACUGCGACACGGCCCAGACUCCUACGGGAGGCAGCAGUGGGGAAUUUUGGACAAUGGGCGAAAGCCUGAUCCAGCCAUGCCGCGUGUCUGAAGAAGGCCUUCGGGUUGUAAAGGACUUUUGUCGGAGAGGAAAUCCCCAGCGUUAAUACCGCUGGGGGAUGACAGUACCUGAAGAAUAAGCACCGGCUAACUACGUGCCAGCCGCCGCGGUAA
RNAcentral lists this ribosomal RNA (500 nucleotides) under uncultured bacterium. RNAcentral describes it as "partial 16S ribosomal RNA". It matches the Rfam family "Bacterial small subunit ribosomal RNA", at positions 30 to 523 of the family's 1533-position model. The record is from RNAcentral.